This 1067-nucleotide long non-coding RNA is filed under the name Lynx canadensis (Canada lynx). RNAcentral describes it as "lncRNA (ENSLCNG00005003874.1)". Lineage: Eukaryota; Metazoa; Chordata; Mammalia; Carnivora; Felidae. The record is from RNAcentral.
UUAACCGACUGAGCCACCCAGGUGCCCCGUUUUAAAAAAAAUUUUAACAUUUAUUUACAUUUGAAAGAGAGAGACAGAGACAGUACGCGAGCAGGGCAAGGGCAGAGAGAUGGAGACAAAAUCUGAAGCAGGCUCCAGGCUCUGAGCUGUCAGCACAGAGCCCGACGUGAGCCUUGAGCUCAUGAGCUGUGAAAUCAUGACCGGGGCCGAAGUCGGAUGCUCAAUCGACUGAGCCACCCAGGCGCCCUAUAAAAUUGGUACGAUAUUAUUGACCACAGACUUUAUUUUCAUUUCACCAAUUUUUCCACAUAUACUCUGUUUCUAUUCCAGGACCCAGUUUAGGACAUCAUCUUGCAUUUAGUGGCCCAGAAUUUUAAUUUUGAUUAUUUUUAGCUGCCUCAUCUAUGGGAUGGGAAGGUUAAUUUUUAUUUUUCUGAAGGAAGGCCUACAAAAAGCUGAAUAAUAUUUAUGUUUAAAGUAUGAUAGUAAUUUUAUAUUAAUGCCAAAAUUCAGUGAAAUUGUUAAGUAGUAGUUUGCUGCAAUCUAAUUCUUUUUUUUUCUAAUUCUCUUCAUUCUUCUGUUAAUGCUUGGUAAUUACUCCACUGUUGAAAGUAGCCCAGCAAUGUAAACAUUCCCCCCAAGUUCUUGUUGAGAGGUUAGUCCCUUGUUUAGAGGCCAGUGAAGGAAGGUGAGGACUUGCCCCUGAAGGUGCAUCCCUGGUUGAUGGUCAGUACAGCUUAGAGAAGAGAGUCGCCAGCCCCUUGCCAAAGCUGUUUGGUUUCUUUGGAUAAAGAAAUCCCAUAAAUGAAUACUUGAGCGUGCUUAUAAUAUUGCUGUUGCUUUCUGUUUUUAGAAGAAUAAAAAACAGCAUCCCUUAUUAACUGGCUUAAAUUGCAGCUACUGUCAACAUUCUCCCUUCUUUUAAAAGAAUAAUAGGUCAGUUAUAUUUCAGUUUAAAAAAGGUUAUUAGGAAAGUCAGUUCUGUCAAGCAGUCAUUACAGUUCAAUGCCUCUCCACAAACUGCGAGUUGGACUGGUUUUUUUAUGUUUGCACAUUUUGUAGGUGCC